Bison bison bison is the source of this 73-nucleotide microRNA precursor. NCBI's taxonomy places the organism in Eukaryota, Metazoa, Chordata, Mammalia, Artiodactyla, Bovidae. The record is from Ensembl.
UGUUUUACAUGUUGAUCCUAUUCCCUCUGUUUUAGUGGAGAAUUGUACAAGGGAAUUAAGAUGUUCUAAGACA